AGUGAACGCUGGCGGUAGGCCUAACACAUGCAAGUCGAACGGCAGCACAGUAAGUGCUUGCUCUUACGGGUGGCGAGUGGCGGACGUGUGACGAAUACAUCGUAAUCUACUUUUUCGGGUGGGUUAACGAAGCUAAACUUACGCUAAUACCGCAUACGCCCUACGGGUGAAAGCAGGGGAUCUUCGGACCUUGCGCGAUUGAAUUAGCCGAUGUCGGAUUUGCUAGUUGGCGGGGUAAAGGCCCACCCAGGCGACGAUCCGUAGCCGGUCUGGGAGGAUGAUCAGCCACACUGGAACUGAGACACGGUCCAUGCGACUACGGGAGGCAGCAGUGGGGAAUAUUGGACAAUGGGCGCGAGCCUGGUCCAGCCAUACCGCGUCGGUGAAGAAGGCCUUCGGGUUGUAAAGCCCUUUUGUUGGGAAUGAAAAGCAGCAGGUUAAUACCCCGCGGGUCUGACGGUACCCAAAGAAUAAGCACCGGCUAACUUCGUG
This 492-nucleotide ribosomal RNA is filed under the name uncultured bacterium. Its description in RNAcentral is "partial 16S ribosomal RNA". It matches the Rfam family "Bacterial small subunit ribosomal RNA", at positions 29 to 507 of the family's 1533-position model. The record is from RNAcentral.